RNAcentral lists this ribosomal RNA (253 nucleotides) under uncultured bacterium. Its description in RNAcentral is "partial 16S ribosomal RNA". It matches the Rfam family "Bacterial small subunit ribosomal RNA", at positions 524 to 776 of the family's 1533-position model. The record is from RNAcentral.
UACGUAGGGGGCAAGCGUUGUCCGGAUUUAUUGGGCGUAAAGAGCGUGUAGGCGGCCUGAAAGGUCAGCUGUGAAAACUCGAGGCUCAACCUCGAGACGUCGGUUGAAACCAUCUGGCUAGAGUCCGGAAGAGGAGUGUGGAAUUCCUGGUGUAGCGGUGAAAUGCGCAGAUAUCAGGAAGAACACCCGUGGCGAAGGCGGCUCUCUGGGACGGUACUGACGCUGAGACGCGAAAGCGUGGGGAGCGAACAGG